GACGAAUGCUGGCGGCGUGCCUAACACAUGCAAGUCAACUUGACUGAAGGAGCAAUCUGACAGUAGAGUGGCGCAAGGGUGCGUAACGCGUAAGUAACUUGCCCAAGGUAAGGAAUAACGUCGAGAAAUCGGCGCUAAUACCUCAUAAUGCAGCGGAUCCGCAUGGAUAUGUUGUUAAAGGUUUACCGCCUUGGGAUAGGCUUGCGUCUGAUUAGCUAGUUGGUGUGGUAACGGCACACCAAGGCUACGAUCAGUAACUGGUCUGAGAGGAUGAUCAGUCACACUGGAACUGAGACACGGUCCAGACUCCUACGGGAGGCAGCAGUGAGGAAUAUUGGGCAAUGCUCGAAAGAGUGACCCAGCAACGCCGCGCGGAGGAUGAAGGUAUUCUAUAUCGUAAACUCCUGUGAGAGCAGACGAAAGACAGAUUAUUAAUCUGGAUGACUGUAUGCUCAGAGGAAG
This 462-nucleotide ribosomal RNA is filed under the name uncultured bacterium. RNAcentral describes it as "bacterial SSU rRNA". It matches the Rfam family "Bacterial small subunit ribosomal RNA", at positions 28 to 490 of the family's 1533-position model. The record is from RNAcentral.